Oncorhynchus kisutch (coho salmon) is the source of this 74-nucleotide non-coding RNA. NCBI's taxonomy places the organism in Eukaryota, Metazoa, Chordata, Actinopteri, Salmoniformes, Salmonidae. The record is from the annotation of a RefSeq genome assembly.
GUUUCUGUAGUGUAGUGGUUAUCACGUUCGCUUUAACACGCGACGGUCCCCCGGUUCGAGACCGGGCGGAAACA